AAUAGAUUUGAGAGAAAUGCGCUGCAAAACACCAAAAGCCCUAAAUAGUAUUGCAGAACAAAUACAGUAUUUUAACAAAAAAAUACAAUCCUGGCAAGCACAGUGCAAUUGAUUAUGUUUGGUGUAUGUAGUCUGUCCUCUGUUAAGACUGAGCUCUCAUGUGCAAUAACAAAUCUUAUGCAAACAAAUGCAUAUCACCAUCUACCCACCAGCUAUUCUGCAACAUGCUUGACAUUUCUCAAAGAGGAAUAGCCUACACUUGCAUAAAAAGAGGAUAUUUAAUGUUUGGAAGGCAGCAACUUACACACAUUAUACAGUUUUGAUUUUGCAGCCAAGAGACAACUUCGCCUACUUAACAAGCCUUUAUGCAUUUCUACUGUGAUGCGAUGUGGAAUUCUUGCAGUCGUGUCCACAUCUGGUGUCGGCCUAAUCCGAUUUUUUCAUUUUCUCUCUUCUUUUUGUUCUCACAGCUGUGUACAUUUCGCAUGACACCCUGACUGAUCCCUGACAGGUGAUGAAUUGGCACCAAGCGAGCCGCAGUACUGAAUUGCGCCGCGAGCUCAUACUCUCGCAGACUCACUGGCGCCAGCCCCGUGACGUCACCCAUUCACAGCAGCCCUCGGGCCAGUCCUCACGGCGCCACUCAGGCGGCUGCUAUGGCGACGGGGGCUGUCAAUCAGCGCGAGGUCUCAGCUGAUCAAUGGAACCGAACUGUGAGAGAUCGGAGUUUGAUUCGUCACCUCGGUGCUGCGGGGCCCGCACACCUGCAUCAUUAACAUUUCUUAACUUACAUUUGAGUUGGAAAAGUCUCCCUUCGUCAGUUUGUGAAAAUAAUUUGACAAGAAAAGGACUGGCUGCCAGCAUAACAAAGCUUUAUCAAGGUGGCCUGUACUCCUGUUCUUCACACACAAAUGUGCUGGUCUAGUGCAUUCAACUAGCCAGGGAGAGACAACCUGCUCUGCUCUGAUGACAUCCGCUCAACUCUGUUACGAAAAUAUGUCUUGUGCUCACUGGGAUAUAUCCAAAGGUGAAGACCCAUGAGGCUCCUUACAGGUGCUGCCCCUCAGGUGACAAACUGUGACCAAGGUGUGUGACACAAUGUUGGAACAAGACCAUAUUUCAGCAGGUGACGUGAUGCGGUGACUGGAAACCUCAACUAAGGCUAUUUCUUAUUGUCACUCAGACUGUAACCGAAGACCAUACCAAUUAACCUCUCCGCCACUGUGUCGAGACAUGAUUUCUUUCCAACUUGUCGUGGCGCACCUCAGCAAUACUGAAGACAUUUUGAAGUGGUGAAAUCUGUAGUGCCAAGAUUGGCUUCCCAUUUUAACUGACUUGAUCGAUUUUUGUCACCGGAAAGCUGGCUUUGUGAUUGGGGAUCUCAGUUCGUUGAGGCCCCUGCGGUGGCUGGAACAAACAAGCGCAUCAUGUCCAAGGGGGACAUUGAUUGGUGCUAUUUUUGCUUUGCCACAUGACAGACGCAGCAUGUUCACAGGGGAACAUCCAUGCUCACACCUGUUUGCCUGAAUUGGAUGUGUGACACACAGCACCACUGUUGCUGUUGUCACAAAGAGGGAAGCACAGCAUGGAUGACGGUGAUUGAGGAUAUUAUGCAUUCUGGUUGGUUUAGCACUGACCAUCCACAUUUGAUGUACAAAGCGAGCUAUUGAGGAAUACUCAGUCUGAAAUAUGCAAAAUAAAUGUAGUAGUGUUUGAA
This is a long non-coding RNA of Oncorhynchus keta (chum salmon), 1717 nucleotides long. RefSeq lists it as uncharacterized. NCBI's taxonomy places the organism in Eukaryota, Metazoa, Chordata, Actinopteri, Salmoniformes, Salmonidae. The transcript has 4 exons. The record is from RefSeq and is a predicted model, not a curated record.